CCUUUCGCCUGGGCCCUUAAUUUGAUUACCUAGGCAGCGCCAGCGCACCAGGCGGUACCAGCCGAGACGGGCUGCGGCUGGCUGCUCUCUCUCUCUCUCUUUCUCUCUCGGGAGAGGGGAGGCAGCAGCCGGGCGGCCAAACGAGGAGUCACCAAAGCGACUGUUGCAAAAAAUGGAAGCGCCCGCGAAGCCGUGAGAGGAAAAGGAACGCCUUUUUUUUAAUCAAGACCCAGCUUUGCCUUCGUUUCCAUGACAGUUAUUAGGUAAGAGAGACAUUGAAUUGUCUCCCACAAUGCUCCGGAGAAAGGACUGGGGGGUGGGGAAGAAGUUGCUCCUCCAGUGACAAAGCGGCGGAGUUCCGACACCGGAGAGCAGGAACUCUGCCUCUUCAGAGAAUUACAAAACUCCGGGAAUAUUCUGCCUUUUUAUCGGCCGCCUCUCCUGCGUUUUGCCUGAAAGUCACGGGCAGGGCUGCUGCUGCUGGUGGUUGCUUUCCUUCCGCCCCCUCCCCUCGAAAGAAAUCUUCAGAAUCGCUGCGCUGCUUUUCGCAAGGCGCCGGCUUCGGCGACGCGAGGGAUAUGAACAAUUUUCCAGGUGGGCUACCGAGAGGGAGUGAAGCUGAAAGGCGUCCAAUCAGGCUUAGGCAACCCACAGCCUUGUCCAAAUGCCUCUCCGGCGGAUCUCGGUAAUCCCAGCGCAGGAGACCACCAGCAAUGGGAGAAGUUCCAUAGGUAGAAACAAAGAGAAGAACAGGGAAGUCGAGAAUUUCAGAAUUUGAAAAGGGAUAAGUGGAAGGAGAAAAUGUUGGGCUGGUGCCAAGCGAUAGCUCGUAAUCCUCACAGAUUCCCAAACAACACAAGAACUCCCGAAGUCACAGGUGAUGCUUCACAUAUCUCUGCCUUGAAUGAAAAAUCUCCAGGCCGCUCAACAAGUCGAUCAAGUAACAUUUCAAAGGUAAGUUGUAAAUCAUUGUCAGGGAGUUUUGUUGCAACAUGCAUACCAUCUUGAUUAAACUGUAAGUACACAUGAAUUCUGUUGGAUAUAAAUGGGGUGUAGUUCUGACUAAAGACUAAAGAUGCAUGAACAUAAGUUUUGAUUCUACAAGAAUAACCACCACAUUUUUAUAAGCUUUGAAAUUGGGCACUAUACUCUCAUGUUAGACUUAACAAGUCAACAUGCCUGAUGUAAAAUAUUUUCUCAUGUAUACACAAAAAGUUGAACUUCUGCUCUUCUGAACUGUACUUCUCUCAAAAUUUAACAACUUCUAUCACCCUUAUAAUCUCUCCCUCAAGCCAGUCUUUAGAGGUUCUUGUCACAAGUAUACACAAUUGUAACCUAGUAAUUUCUAGCUUCAGUAAAGAAACUCAGGAGGACAAUUUGUCUAAAAUGGUGGGCAAAUAACUGCCCCUCCCCUUGAAGUUAGGAAGAAGUUUGGUAGAUGCUUUUGUUUCUGAAAGCUUCAUGGAGGAAUGGAUCAGUGGGAAGAAAUGCCUCACUCCAAGUGAAUUAUUUCAGGAUUCUGAGCACAAUAAAUAAUUAGAUAAAAAUGUGCUAUCUAAUUUUAUUUGGGUUAAUUUUAUUUGGUGUAUUCAAAGCCUUGCUGAAUCCUUCUAUAGUUGUUUUUCCUGUGACUUAGCCUCCAUUUUAUAAGAACCUACCCAUUGCCCCCUUCAAAUCUAAAACUUUUUUCUAACAGCUGUUUUUAUUUCUUUCACUAUUGAUAUAUAAUAUAUAGUGGGGAGAGG
This is a non-coding RNA of Thamnophis sirtalis, 1745 nucleotides long. Lineage: Eukaryota; Metazoa; Chordata; Lepidosauria; Squamata; Natricidae. The record is from RefSeq and is a predicted model, not a curated record.